Molecule: ribosomal RNA, 503 nt
Filed under: uncultured bacterium
Lineage: Bacteria
Description: partial 16S ribosomal RNA
Rfam family: Bacterial small subunit ribosomal RNA
Source: RNAcentral
AUUGAACGCUGGCGGCAGGCUUAACACAUGCAAGUCGAGCGGGGUGAUGGUGCUUGCACUAUCACUUAGCGGCGGACGGGUGAGUAAUGCUUAGGAAUCUGCCUAUUAGUGGGGGACAACAUCUCGAAAGGGAUGCUAAUACCGCAUACGUCCUACGGGAGAAAGCAGGGGAUCACUUGUGACCUUGCGCUAAUAGAUGAGCCUAAGUCGGAUUAGCUAGUUGGUGGGGUAAAGGCCUACCAAGGCGACGAUCUGUAGCGGGUCUGAGAGGAUGAUCCGCCACGCUGGGACUGAGACACGGCCCAGACGCCUACGGGGGGCAGCAGUGGGGAAUAUUGGACAGUGGGGGGAACCCUGAUCCAGCCAUGCCGCGUGUGUGAAGAAGGCCUUAUGGUUGUAAAGCACUUUAAGCGAGGAGGAGGCUCUUUUGGUUAAUACCCAAGAUGAGUGGACGUUACUCGCAGAAUAAGCACCGGCUAACUCUGUGCCAGCCGCCGCCGUAA